This 292-nucleotide ribosomal RNA is filed under the name uncultured bacterium. RNAcentral describes it as "partial 16S ribosomal RNA". It matches the Rfam family "Bacterial small subunit ribosomal RNA", at positions 505 to 796 of the family's 1533-position model. The record is from RNAcentral.
GUGCCAGCCGCCGCGGUAAUACGGAGGAUCCGAGCGUUAUCCGGAUUUAUUGGGUUUAAAGGGAGCGUAGAUGGGUUGUUAAGUCAGUUGUGAAAGUUUGCGGCUCAACCGUAAAAUUGCAAUUGAUACUGGCAGUCUUGAGUACAGUUGAGGUAGGCGGAAUUCGUGGUGUAGCGGUGAAAUGCUUAGAUAUCACGAAGAACUCCGAUUGCGAAGGCAGCUUACUAACCUGUAACUGACAUUGAUGCUCGAAAGUGUGGGUAUCAAACAGGAUUAGAAACCCGGGUAGUCC